Molecule: long non-coding RNA, 692 nt
Organism: Gracilinanus agilis (Agile Gracile Mouse Opossum)
Lineage: Eukaryota; Metazoa; Chordata; Mammalia; Didelphimorphia; Didelphidae
Exons: 4
Source: RefSeq, a predicted model, not a curated record
CUGGUAUAUUGCUAUUCAUCUAUCAUUUUCGAAGAGGACCAGUGACAUCAGGGAUGAUGAUUUGACUUGCACCUGAGUUGGAUUUAAUUCUUUCUUCCAGACUUAUCUAAGUCCAGUGGCAAGACAAAAGCCAAGGCAGUGGCCAGAGAUUCAGGAUGACCUUGGCAUCUUCCUUAUCUGACCAACCUCCAAGUGCUCCAUGGUACCUGCUUCAGUCAUCUUCUUGGCCAUUGAAAUAAAUCUGCCCAUUACACUGGGAGAAGUCUCCACAUGCUUUGGGUAGACAUCCCCUUAACUCACCCUCUACUCAGUCAGUUUUACUGGGGUCUGGCCACUGUUCUUGCUACAGCUUCUUGGAGCCACAGAUAUUGUGUUUUUUUACUGAUUGAAAGUUUGUGGCAACCUUGGGUCAAGCAAGUCUAUCAGCGCCAUUUUUCCAAUGAGUAAGAAUGGGAGAACAGUAGCUGAGAUGGAUGGAAAGGAAAACUGGGGCCAUACUGUGGAAAGUCUUCAAUACCAACAAGAACUGAGAUUUGAAUCAAAUAGUUGUUUAUCAAAAUUCAGCCAUCUUCAAAUUUAAAAGAAAAUAUUAAAAUAUCUAUACAAAGGUAUUUGGAUUUUCUGACUUUUUUGUUUUCAUUCCAUUCUAAGUGUUUUGCUUAUGCAUAAAACAAGUACCAACAACCAUAAUA